Molecule: ribosomal RNA, 492 nt
Filed under: uncultured bacterium
Lineage: Bacteria
Description: partial 16S ribosomal RNA
Rfam family: Bacterial small subunit ribosomal RNA
Source: RNAcentral
AGUGAACGCUGGCGGUAGGCCUAACACAUGCAAGUCGAACGGCAGCACAGUAAGAGCUUGCUCUUACGGGUGGCGAGUGGCGGACGGGUGAGGAAUACAUCGGAAUCUACUUUUUCGUGGGGGAGAACGUAGGGAAACUUACGCUAAUACCGCAUACGACCUACGGGUGAAAGCAGGGGACCUUCGGACCUUGCGCGAUUGAAUGAGCCGAUGUCGGAUUAGCUAGUUGGCGGGGUAAAGGCCCAUCAAGGCGACGAUCCGUAGCUGGUCUGAGAGGAUGAUCAGCCACACUGGAACUGAGACACGGUCCAGACUCCUACGGGAGGCAGCAGUGGGGAAUAUUGGACAAUGGGCGCAAGCCUGAUCCAGCCAUACCGCGUGGGUGAAGAAGGCCUUCGGGUUGUAAAGCCCUUUUGUUGGGAAAGAAAAGCAGCAGGUUAAUACCCCGCUGUUCUGACGGUACCCAAAGAAUAAGCACCGGCUAACUUCGUG